This 420-nucleotide ribosomal RNA is filed under the name Rhodochlanis suaedicola. Its description in RNAcentral is "partial 16S ribosomal RNA". Lineage: Eukaryota; Metazoa; Arthropoda; Insecta; Hemiptera; Aphalaridae. The record is from RNAcentral.
AAACAUGUCUGGAAGAAAGAUAUUUUUGGUUUUUACUGCUCAAUGCUAAGUUAAUAGCUGCAGUAUACUGACUGUACAAAGGUAGCAUAAUCACUAGUUUUUUGAUUGGAAACUUGUAUGAAUGUAUUGACGUAAAAUUUACUUUAUUAUUUAAAUUUGAAUUUAAUUUUUAAGUAAAAAAGCUUAAUUAAAUUAAAGGGACGAGAAGACCCUAUAGAAUUUUAUAUAUAUUUUUUGUUGGGGUAACGAAAAUUAACUUUUUUUAUUUACACUAUUGAGUGGUAAGGGAUCUUAAUAUUAGAUGAUAAGAAUAAAUUACCUUAGGGAUAACAGCAUAAUUUUUUUUGAAAGAUCUUAUUAAUAAUUAAGAUUAUGACCUCGAUGUUGAAUUAAAUUUAAAUUAGGUGUAGCAGUUUAGUG